This is a long non-coding RNA of Panthera uncia (snow leopard), 885 nucleotides long. RefSeq lists it as uncharacterized. The record is from RefSeq and is a predicted model, not a curated record. The transcript is spliced from 2 exons. NCBI's taxonomy places the organism in Eukaryota, Metazoa, Chordata, Mammalia, Carnivora, Felidae.
GCAGCACAGGUAGAGCUCUGGGCCAAUGGGAACCAAGGAGCUCCUUGGAUGGCGGGAGCUCCUCUCCUGACGGCAAAUGAUGGCGGGAGUCCUGGCAUCCUCAGAAGGAGGACUCCAAGAGGCUAAAUGACCCACCUACUGCUACAAAAUUAGCAAGAUAUAAAACCAAAAGACUACCCAGGUCUGUUCAGUCCACAGAUUCAGAGGGAUAACAGCCGAAGAAGCUCUCAGAGGGGGCAUUUACCCUGACCUCGUGCCUCACAGAAAAUAAACUGAGACCCAGAGAGGGCCCGGACUUGGUCACUCAGGGAGCUGGUGACAAAACAGGAAUGGGAUUCUUCAGCCCAUGCUUCUUCUCAUCACCCAGAGGUCUUUCCAGAGAACUGUGCAGCCCCAGACUUUUACUGAACACUCACUUUGUGUCAGGUACUAAACAAGCUACGAAUUACUUUUGUUGUUGUUAACAGAGACCUGACCCUGGUGACUUAAGCAGAGGAAGUCAUUCUCUCUCAUAAAAGAAGUCCAGAGGCAGGUAUUACAGGGCUGUUUGACAGAUGGACAAAGUCAUCAGGGAUGCAGGUCCCUGCUACUUUUCUGCAUCACUGCCUUCAACACAGAGGUUCGAUUCUAAACACCCAAGAUGGCUGCUGGAGUUCGAGCCAUCACAUCCACAUUCCAGGCACGAAAAGGAGGAAGAAACUGGAACAAAAGGGCAUGUGUGCCUGCCCUGUCUGCCCCCCUCUCUCCUUUAGGAAUCUUCCCGAAAGCCCAUCUAAGUUCCACUUAUAGCCCAUUAGCACUUGCUAGUUGCAAGAAAGGUUAAGAAAUGUCAUCUUUUACCUGGGCGCAUUGCUACCCUAAAUAAAAUUGGGGUUAUGGUAGGAA